RNAcentral lists this non-coding RNA (30 nucleotides) under Rattus norvegicus (Norway rat). Lineage: Eukaryota; Metazoa; Chordata; Mammalia; Rodentia; Muridae. The record is from RNAcentral.
CAGCAAAUGAGAUAGUUUGUUGCCAAUGAU